GCCUCUCCCGGAGCCUCUCAAAGGAAGUUGGAUCUCCUUAUCGGCCACUCUGCUGUGUGGCAUGAACGAAGCUCCUCCGCGCGGUGUGAAACGGCUGGAUUUCAAACAAUCACCAGUUGCAUUUUUUUCGUCAUCACGGGGAGACACUGCCGACUGCUCGGCUGUACUGAAGUCUGCGGUCUUCGUCUGCGCUGCCGGAGAGACGUCAGUCUAGGGGAUCACUGUGCCCCCUCUGCUUCUCAUCCGGCCCCCCCGGCUGUCACCGCGCCCGCCAGGUUCAACAUGAUUGCUUCUUUAUUAUUAUUAUUAUUAUUAUUAUUAUAUGAAAUGUUUGUAUAUUGGGAAGUUUGCUAUAUUUUUUCUAUGAGAGAUGUUUUAAAGGCCCUCCACCAAACUUACUUAUUAAACAUAAAGAAGUGUG
Molecule: long non-coding RNA, 421 nt
Organism: Siniperca chuatsi (mandarin fish)
Lineage: Eukaryota; Metazoa; Chordata; Actinopteri; Centrarchiformes; Sinipercidae
Exons: 2
Source: RefSeq, a predicted model, not a curated record